Phyllostomus discolor (pale spear-nosed bat) is the source of this 104-nucleotide small nuclear RNA. Lineage: Eukaryota; Metazoa; Chordata; Mammalia; Chiroptera; Phyllostomidae. The record is from RefSeq and is a predicted model, not a curated record.
GUGCUUGCUUCAGCAGCACAUGUACUAAAAUUGGAAUGAUACAGAGAUUAGCAUGGCCCCUGUACAAGGAUGACACACAAAAAAUUAAGCAUGAGAAAUUUCAA